This is an RNA transcript of Cryptotermes secundus, 836 nucleotides long. It is a transcript of the gene named NTF2-related export protein, with no coding region annotated. Lineage: Eukaryota; Metazoa; Arthropoda; Insecta; Blattodea; Kalotermitidae. The transcript is spliced from 6 exons. The record is from RefSeq and is a predicted model, not a curated record.
UUCCGAGACAUUUUGGGAUGCUGUGCGCAGAGUGAGCGUGUGGUAUAAUUUGGUAUUUAAUUGUAAUUAAUUAGGAAACAGCUUGUGUCGAAUAUCCAAAGUUUAACUUGUAAGGUAUACGUCAUUCCUCGGCUAUAGUUGCGACAUUAAACGUCAUGGAACAGGAGCUGAAGAACAAGAUUGACCAGGCAUGCCACACCGCGGAGGAAUUCACCAAGUUGUACUAUGAAAGCGUGGACAAGAGGCGCCAUCUGAUGUCACGGUACUAUUUGGACACCGGGGUCCUAGUAUGGAAUGGAAAUGGGACUGUUGGCAAAGAACUGAUUCAGAAGUUUUUUGAAGGGUUACCACCUUCAGAACACACACUCACGUCUCUGGAUUCUCAGCCUGUACUCGAUGUAGCUGUGGCCAAUCAGCUGACAUUCUUGAUUCUUGCUUGUGGAUUUGUAAAAUUCCAAGACAAGGUGUCACGCCCAUUCCAGCAAAAUUUUACAGUAACAGCUCAGGGAGACAAAUGGAAGAUAGUAACCGACUGCUUCCGUCUGCAGGAGCCAGUCAGGGGCAUAGAGUUACAGCAAGGUCUAGUAACUGAUUGGUCAGCACAUUCCAGAGCCUUAUAACGCAGCUGCAAGCAGCUACGUGCUAGCUAGGUGGAGCCAGAGAGAUGUAUAGUGUGUUGCAACUUAUCGUGUUUUAAAAACCCGUUAACACACGAACGGUCCACCAUGUUUAAAAGCGAAAAACCUUUUAAAGGGUUGUGACUGGAAUGCUGCCCACGUUUAUUGAUGGAAUAUUAUAUGUAUAUAAAGCUAUCAAUAAAUUUCACAAAUAACUGA